AUACGGAGGGGGCUAGCGUUGUUCGGAAUUACUGGGCGUAAAGCGCGCGUAGGCGGGCUGGUUAGUUGGGGGUGAAAUCCCGAGGCUCAACCUCGGAACUGCCCUCAAUACUGCCAGUCUUGAGUUCGAGAGAGGUGAGUGGAAUUCCUAGUGUAGAGGUGAAAUUCGUAGAUAUUAGGAAGAACACCAGUGGCGAAGGCGGCUCACUGGCUCGAUACUGACGCUGAGGCGCGAAAGCGUGGGGAGCAAACAGGAUUAGAAACCCGAGUAGUCC
RNAcentral lists this ribosomal RNA (274 nucleotides) under uncultured bacterium. RNAcentral's name for it is "partial 16S ribosomal RNA". It matches the Rfam family "Bacterial small subunit ribosomal RNA", at positions 523 to 796 of the family's 1533-position model. The record is from RNAcentral.